GCCAAAAGUCAGGGAUGUCUUAUUUUCUGUAUUAAGGCAUGAAAGUAAUGACAAAUAUGACGAUGUUGCUGAUAGUAACGAUUGGUAACCCUAUUUAUAUUAGUGUUAAACAUCGUUUGAACUAUGGUCAGAAAAGCUAGCUAUAAUGAAUAGUACAAUAUAGUCAUAAUAUGUAAAUGAAAGAGAUGAAAAGAUUCGUUGGAAUAUCUAAACAAUAUUAUUAAGAAUGUACGAAGACCUAAGUAAUUUUAUCACAUUUGACUAUAAUACCAUUUGGAACAUGCAUAGUGAAAGUUCAGAAAAUAUGUACCAAAACACAGUUUUAUUUGAUAUAAUGCAGGAUAAUGAACCUUCUAAAGAAAUUAAUACGAAUGAAGAAAAAGAUCAUUUUGAGGAAUUAAAUAAUUUUGAAUCUGAUAACAUAUUACAUAAUAAAAUAUCACAUAAUACUAGUACGAAACAAGACAUAUUAAUAUUGAAUAAGACACAUCGCACAGUUCCUAAUAUUUUAAAGAGUAGUUCAAGAUCACAUAGAAUAUCUGAAGUAGAUGGAACAAAACCAAAUUGCUUCUUUGAAGAUAUAGCAAAAACAGAGCAACAAGUUUUACUUGUUCCUGAUGCAGCAUCAAAGCAUAUUCAGUCUGAAAAUACAUUUGUUAAAGAAGCUAAAUAUAAAAAAGUAUCAAGGAGAAGAAAACAAAAGUUUAGCUAUGUGAACGCCUGGAACAUUUGCUCCUUUGUUGACAAGGAGAAGGAAAUAUUGGAUAAAAACGUUUGUAUGUCAACAGAGAUAGACAGUUCUGCACAAAAAAAUAAGUUGAAGCAUUACGCUAAUAAGCAGGAUAAAAGACAAGGAAUAUCUAUUCUUAAAAGUGAACAAGAAAGACUUGUAUCUUCAAUGUCUGAGAAUGUAUUAACAGAUUGUACCUCCAAAGGUCAGGCCCCUUCAUCUUUGGAAGAAAUUGAAUCAGAUAAUUUUCAAGAUUCAAUUGAUUUCUCAAGCAAUGAAAUAUUUAAUACAUUUUAUUACGAAUCUUAUGACAGCAAUAAGUUAGAUUGUUUUAUAGGGUAUACAGAGAAUUCUGAUGAUGCAUAUAAUUCUUUUAGUUCAAAACAUAGUGAUUAUCAGGUAAAAGAACUUGAUAUGAAUUAUAAUGAAAUAGAUACAUAUGAGACAAUGGCAGAUUGGUCCUUAACAGACAAUGAACAAGAUGAAAUAGAUAUUUCAAUAAGAAAACCUGUAAUGUCUCCAGAUUAUUGGAUCGAAGAUCUCUUCAGUGAUAGAAAAUCAAAAUGUUCAUGCUGUGAUUAUUCUUGCCAUGAGGAUUAUGCUCCAAAUUUGAUUACAACUAGUGAAAUUAAUACUUAUACAAAAGACAGACUAUCAACAGAAAUUUUUAAUGAUGAUUCACAAGCUAAUUUGAACAAUACAGAUUUAUAUACCUCAAAUAGUACAUACGUAACUGAUAAUGUUUUAAGUGAGGACAGCAGUAGAACAUGCUCACCGCUUAUUGACAUUGAGAGCUCUUUGCAAAUUACUGAUGAUAUUGACUCAACGUUAAUAAAAUUUUUUAAUUAUUCAUGUCAAAAAGAUAUUGAAGAAGGAAUAUCUAAACAAUUUACAUGUACACAAGAACAACAAGAAACAUUACAAAUUCAAGACAGCAACGAAUAUAAACAUAUUACAAAAAAGAACGAGUUUCAGUGUUCAUCAUGUUUAUUAUCGUUUGCAAGCGCGCGUACAAUGGCAAUACAUCAAGCUGCAGCGCAUGGAGGUAUGUACAUAAUACUUUGCGAAAGUUGUGGUAGGCUUUUCAAUCGAAAAUAUCAUUUCAAUAGGCAUUUCAUUCAUUGCCACCGUAUGAAAGAACCUUUCAAUUGCGACAUGUGCUUUAGAAAAUAUAGAAAUUUGUUUUCAGACACAAGUCGUCUUUACUUCACCACUUAAAAGCAGUGCACCAGGUUCACUAUACUCGUAGUCGUUCGUCAACAUUCACUUGUGAAGUGUGCCAAAAAGUUUAUAGCAAAUUUGGUGCUUUUGAAAAUCAUGUGAAAACCCAUAAAAACGCUUGAGAUACUUUUAUUUCAUCCAAAUAAAUGUAGCUUUGUAAACUCUAUCAGAGUGAAAAAUAAUCUAUGUGCAAUACACGAAAAACGAUAAAGAGAAACAAGUGAUGACACAUAUAUUAUCAGAUAUUA
Molecule: RNA transcript, 2199 nt
Organism: Bombus impatiens (common eastern bumble bee)
Lineage: Eukaryota; Metazoa; Arthropoda; Insecta; Hymenoptera; Apidae
Gene: viaf
Gene name: viral IAP-associated factor homolog
Exons: 8
Source: RefSeq, a predicted model, not a curated record